AUGAAGUUGCAGACGGAGGCCGCCGCCGCCGCCGGGGGGGAGGGGAGGCUGAUGAUCCGGCAGGUGUGGGCGAACAACGUGGAGUCGGAGUUCCAGGCGAUCCGGCAGGUGGCGGAGCGGUUCCCGUACGUGUCCAUGGACACGGAGUUCCCGGGCGUGAUCCACUGCCCAAGCAAGCACCACGCGACGCUGACCCCGUCGGAGCGGUACGCGGCGCUCAUGGCGAACGUGGACGCGCUCCACCUGAUCCAGGUGGGCCUGGCGUUCGCGGCGUCGCCCGACGCGGCACCGGCGGUGGCGUUCGAGAUCAACCUGCGGGAGUUCGACCCGCGCGUGCACCGCCACAACCCCAGCUCGGUGGCCCUGCUGGCGGGCCACGGGCUGGACUUCGCGAAGCAGCGGAGGGAGGGCGUGGACGCGCGCGUGUUCGCGGCGCUGCUCAUGUCGUCGGGGCUGGUGUGCUCCGGGGCCAGCGCGCCGACGUGGGUGACGUUCCACUCGGCCUACGACUUCGGGUACCUGGUGAAGCUGCUCAUGGGGCGCAAGCUGCCGCGCACGCUGACCGAGUUCCUGGGCCUGGUGCGCGUCUUCUUCGGCGACGAGGUGUACGACGCGCGGCACGUCAUGGACAGCUGCGCCGGGCUCUACGGCGGGCUGGACGCCCUGGCGGCGCAGCUGGGCGUGAAGCGCGCGGCGGGGAUGUCCCACCAGGCCGGGUCGGACGCCGCGCUCACCUGGGACGUGUUCCGCCGCAUCCGGGACGUCUACUUCGCCGGCAACAGCAGGCAGGGCCAGGGCCAGGGCGUGGGCAACUUCGCCGGCGUGCUCUACGGGCUGGACCUGGAGCUCCACCUCGCCGCGCCCGCCGACAACGGCAACGGCAACGGCAACAGGAACAACAACAAGAACAAGUGCGGCAGCGGCAACGGCGCCGGCGGGCGGGGCAACAACAGGCGGGCCGUGGCGGCGCUGAGAUGA
This 978-nucleotide ribosomal RNA is filed under the name Triticum aestivum (bread wheat). RNAcentral's name for it is "partial small subunit ribosomal RNA". Lineage: Eukaryota; Viridiplantae; Streptophyta; Magnoliopsida; Poales; Poaceae. The record is from RNAcentral.